GAUGAACGCUGGCGGCGUGCCUAAUACAUGCAAGUCGAGCGAACAGACGAGGGGCUUGCUCCUCUGACGUUAGCGGCGGACGGGUGAGUAACACGUGGAUAACCUACCUAUAAGACUGGGAUAACUUCGGGAAACCGGAGCUAAUACCGGAUAAUAUAUUGAACCGCAUGGUUCAAUAGUGAAAGACGGUUUUGCUGUCACUUAUAGAUGGAUCCGCGCCGCAUUAGCUAGUUGGUAAGGUAACGGCUUACCAAGGCGACGAUGCGUAGCCGACCUGAGAGGGUGAUCGGCCACACUGGAACUGAGACACGGUCCAGACUCCUACGGGAGGCAGCAGUAGGGAAUCUUCCGCAAUGGGCGAAAGCCUGACGGAGCAACGCCGCGUGAGUGAUGAAGGUCUUCGGAUCGUAAAACUCUGUUAUUAGGGAAGAACAAAUGUGUAAGUAACUAUGCACGUCUUGACGGUACCUAAUCAGAAAGCCACGGCUAACUACGU
Molecule: ribosomal RNA, 496 nt
Filed under: uncultured bacterium
Lineage: Bacteria
Description: partial 16S ribosomal RNA
Rfam family: Bacterial small subunit ribosomal RNA
Source: RNAcentral